GGCGUCAGAACGAACGCUGGCGGCAGGCCUAAGUCAUGCAAGUUGAACGGCUGUAGCAAUACAGCAGUAGCGGACGGGUGAGUAAUGUAUGGGAACGUAUCUUCUAGUGGGGAAUAUUCUUUGGAAACGAAGAGCAAUACCGCAUGAGUCCUACGGGAGAAAGUCGCAAGACGCUAGAUGAGCGGCCCAUAUUGGAUUAGCUAGUUGGUUAGGUAAUGGCUGACCAAGGCAACGAUCCAUAGCUGGUCUAAGAGGACGAUCAGCCACAUUGGGACUGAGACACGGCCCAGACUCCUACGGGAGGCAGCAGUCAGGAAUAUUGGACAAUGGGGGCAACCCUGAUCCAAGCCAUGCCGCGUGAGUGUUAAGGUCUUCGGAUUGUAAAGCUCUUUUGUGUGGGAAAAUGAUGAUGGUACCACAAGAAUAAGCACCGGCUAACUUCGUGCCAGCCGCGGC
Molecule: ribosomal RNA, 456 nt
Filed under: uncultured bacterium
Lineage: Bacteria
Description: bacterial SSU rRNA
Rfam family: Bacterial small subunit ribosomal RNA
Source: RNAcentral